This is a non-coding RNA of Pelobates cultripes (western spadefoot toad), 267 nucleotides long. The record is from the annotation of a GenBank genome assembly. NCBI's taxonomy places the organism in Eukaryota, Metazoa, Chordata, Amphibia, Anura, Pelobatidae.
CUGUAUCUGAAAUAUGUGAUGAAGGUCAUUAAAAUCACGGUACUCUUUUGGAGGCUGUGAAACUCCUUGCAGAAUAUAGUCCAUUCUCGAACAAGUAUUUCAUUAUCAUUAACAAAGCAAAGUAUCGUGAUCCAUCACAAUGAGCAAAAGGCAGCAUUUGUCACUUUCCAUAGUGAAUCAUUUAUUGCAUAGCUAUUAAGAUUCAGUGGAGGUGUUAUUAGAAAGCAGUAAAGGACAUACAAAUCCAUACUACUUGAUAUGUCUGCU